AGCUCCAUUAGCGUAUAUUAAAGUUGUUGCAGUUAAAAAGCUCGUAGUUGGAUUUCGGUGUGGGCCAGUGGGUCGGCCGCGAGGCCUGUUACUGACUGGUCCGCUCUUCCUCUCAAAGACUGCGCGUGCCCUUCGCUGGGUGUGCGUAUUUGGAUUUGGGACGUUUACUUUGAAAAAAUUAGAGUGUUCCAAGCAGGCGCGUUCCGCCCGAAUAAUGGUGCAUGGAAUAAUAGAAUAGGACCUCGGUUCUAUUUUGUUGGUUUUCGGAACUAGAGGUAAUGAUUAAGAGGGACAGACGGGGGCAUUCGUAUUGCGGUGUUAGAGGUGAAAUUCUUGGAUCGCCGCAAGACGAACUACUGCGAAAGCAUUUGCCAAGAAUGUUUUCAUUAAUCAAGAACGA
RNAcentral lists this ribosomal RNA (400 nucleotides) under phytoplankton environmental sample. Its description in RNAcentral is "partial small subunit ribosomal RNA". It matches the Rfam family "Eukaryotic small subunit ribosomal RNA", at positions 587 to 986 of the family's 1831-position model. The record is from RNAcentral.